RNAcentral lists this long non-coding RNA (826 nucleotides) under Brachypodium distachyon (stiff brome). RNAcentral describes it as "long non-coding RNA (BDIS_LNC002742)". The record is from RNAcentral. Lineage: Eukaryota; Viridiplantae; Streptophyta; Magnoliopsida; Poales; Poaceae.
CGAGCUCUAUGGGAAGCGAGGCCAUCGGUAAGAAGCUUAUUGGUGGUGAACUGCUGAUAUCUCUGAACCACUGACGUACGCAGCACCGAGAACGUCCAUGCAGAAUCACACAUACACGCAAAAAGAACUCUCAAACUGAUCGGAAUCACACACACAUUCGAGCAACUAGGGGCUGUACUAAUCCUCAAUCUUGAAGAGAAAUUAGAGGCUGCAAUGCUGAAGGUGAGCAUCACGCUGAAGGACGCCAGCACGGUCGACUCUGCUCUCUCCAGCGCAGCGAAACAGGACAGUUCACAGUGAACAGAACACGAAGGACAACUCACCCUAUGUGAGAUUUUUAGCCUGGCUAGGAGAGCACGCACGAGGAUUAAAAUGAUGACCUAAGAGUAGAAAUAGACUAUAGAAAACUAAAUCCUGGUUCAUAUAUUGAUCGAAUCGCUUUGAGAAAUGCCGGCCGCUAACGCCGGCGAGAAGGCAAAAUCAGGGUCCCAACUCGGCGGGCCAUCAUCGCGUUUGGCGUUCGGGCUACCAAUCGAGACGUGAAAGAGGUUCGAAUACCUCUGCGGGCGCCGUAUGCUCCAGUGCUGCCUCAACGCAGCCCCGGCGUGCUCGACCCGCGCCCCCCAGGUCGCUCACUCCGGCCGCCGCCGCAAUCUCCAUUAACUAGAUGGUACCCGCGCGUUGCUGGAAAUACGUAGAAUACCGGUACGGUAAGAUGCAAAAUGUAAAAAAAAAAACUCAAUGGUGUAAAACACGGAACUGAAUUUUGAAUAUGUAAAUUUGAAUUGGAUAUUUGUAUUUUAAAAUUAAUGUAUUUUCUGGUUGG